CCUACGGGAGGCAGCAGUGAGGAAUAUUGGGCAAUGGCCGGAAGGCUGAACCAGCCAAGCCGCGUGAAGGACGAAGGUGCCAAGCAUUGUAAACUUCUUUUGUCAAGGGACAAAAUCAGGCUCGAGAGCCUGACCGAGGGUACUUGAAGAAAAAGCAUCGGCUAACUCAGCGCCAGCAGCCGCGGUAAGACGGGGGAUGCGAGGGUUAUCCGGAUUUAUGGGGGUGAAAGGGUGCGUAGGCGGACUGUUAAGUCAGCGGUAAAAGCCCGGGGCCCAACCCGGGCGAGCCGUUGAAACUGGCUGUCUGGAGAUGUCGAGAGGUAUGCGGAAUGCGCAGUGUAGCGGUGAAAUGCUUAGAUAUUGCGCAGAACUCCGAUGGCGAAGGCAGCAUACCGGCGGCGAUCUGACGCUGAGGCACGAAAGCGUGGGUAUCGAACAGGAUUAGAUACCCGAGUAGUC
Molecule: ribosomal RNA, 459 nt
Filed under: uncultured bacterium
Lineage: Bacteria
Description: partial 16S ribosomal RNA
Rfam family: Bacterial small subunit ribosomal RNA
Source: RNAcentral